CAGUCGCCGCGGUAAUACGAGGGGUGCAAGCGUUACUCGGAAUUACUGGGCGUAAAGCGUGCGUAGGUGGUGGUUUAAGUCCGUUGUGAAAGCCCUGGGCUCAACCUGGGAAUUGCAGUGGAUACUGGGUCACUAGAGUGUGGUAGAGGAUAGUGGAAUUUCCGGUGUAGCAGUGAAAUGCGUAGAGAUCGGAAGGAACAACUGUGGCGAAGGCGACUAUCUGGGCCAACACUGACACUGAGGCACGAAAGCGUGGGGAGCAAACAGGAUUAGAUACCCGCGUAGUCCCUGUCUCUUAUAC
Molecule: ribosomal RNA, 301 nt
Filed under: uncultured bacterium
Lineage: Bacteria
Description: partial 16S ribosomal RNA
Rfam family: Bacterial small subunit ribosomal RNA
Source: RNAcentral